AAAUUAUAGCGGUAUGUCUGCGACCGUGCGUUGAACCGCGCCGGAAGUAGUGCACAACGGGACGUCUCUUGUGGCAGGAUAUUACUGUCUGCAUGUAUCUUCGGUAUCCGCCCGAUUCUCCAGUGUGCCCUUAAGGAUGUCCGUGCGAAUUUAUCCCAUCGGUAACUUGCCGCACCUUCCGGAGUUAUAUCUCACCCCGCUGCUUCGAGAGAACACGAUCGAUGCCAAUUUAUACCGCUGGGUGUUUGUUGCGCUUCGUUCGAUAAACUCCAAGCGAGACGGGCAUUUUCAGUAUUUACGCUCCGACAUCUCCCUGCGGCUGGUUUGCAGCUCGACCCUCAACCCUUCUCUUUCCUUUUCUACUUUAUUGCGCACUGGAAGAUCGUGUUUAUUGGGUUUCUCGGAUCUGAUGUCAUCUGUAUUUGAUCCCCUGUUACUGGUAUGACGCGUAACAUGUCCAACUAAUCUCGCAAUGCAAUUCUCCGGGACUAUUAAGCUCUAAAUAAUUGACGACUACAUAUUUACCUCUUUGUACGACGUUACAAUGUCUCCUGUGAUGCAAUAAAAUUACACGUUCCCCUAAUUCCUCAUUCAAUAAUAAAGACAUUUUUGAAAACAAAUUCUUGAUUGAUUUGGCAAGAAUUAUUUAACUAGUUUCCAACUAACUUUUGUUCUACUCUUUGAAAGCUUUUAAUUCAUCGAAUAUUAUCCUAUAAGAUAAGAUACACGAUUUAUUUUCCCAACAAAAUUUAAGUCUAUUCUUAUCCUUUUUGUUUAUGAAACUUCAUUACAUACAUUUUCUAUUCUAUUUUUAAAAUACUAUUGUUUAUUUGUCAUAAGAAAUUCUUAAGUAGGAAAAGAAAUGGUAAAGUAAGAUCAGAACGUCGUUACAACGAUACGUAAUAUUAAAUGUCACAUUCUGCUUCUUAUUUUAUAAUACGUAAACAAUUUCGCUUAUCGAUUGAUCUUCUUAUUGAAAGCAUAAAUUUCUAUGUAAAAAUAAUUCGCAAUGAUUCGUACUUUAAUAUCACUGAUAGCAAAAAAAGACAUCGAUCUGUAACUAAAACUGCCACCAACUCGUUUCCUCUUGGACUAAUGCCAAAUUUAAAAACAGAAAAACGAUUGACCUAGAAAUUAACAUCCUUCGAUUCAAUAUUGUUUAACAAUCGAACUCAGUACAGGCUACAUACAAAAAACAACAUCAGAAUUAUGUAAUUAAUACAAGCAGGUCAGAAUUUAUGGCACACUGAUAUUUGAUACAUUCAAUAAGUUUCAUACAAAAAUAUAAUAUCAUGGAUCUAAGUUCUUGGUAGACCAGUAUACCAGUUCAAAAUAAUACAAAAAUCAAGCAUAACAUUUCAUUUUCGAGGAAGUCGAGUUU
This 1381-nucleotide unclassified non-coding RNA is filed under the name Bombus terrestris (buff-tailed bumblebee). RNAcentral's name for it is "misc RNA ENSBTSG00005026083.1". The record is from RNAcentral. Lineage: Eukaryota; Metazoa; Arthropoda; Insecta; Hymenoptera; Apidae.